AGUGAAGAUGCAUCUAGGCAUGGGGCAGUCAUCCUGUCUGUGGGAUGAUAGUCUAACCAACAUAAGUAUUGGAGGCCUGCUGUCUGAGGCAUCCUUGCAGGGCAAGUUCAGUAAUUGUGAUCCAAAAUCAGAUGGAAGUAAUGCAGGCUUGCAGCCAUCUCAGUUAAUCUCUGAUUCAUUUGAUGCUUUUAUCAUGGCCCAAGUAAAUCAUUCCCAAGCUCCAAAGC
This 227-nucleotide unclassified non-coding RNA is filed under the name Hevea brasiliensis (rubber tree). Lineage: Eukaryota; Viridiplantae; Streptophyta; Magnoliopsida; Malpighiales; Euphorbiaceae. The record is from RNAcentral.